GAUGAACGCUGGCGGCGUGCCUAAUACAUGCAAGUCGAGCGAACAGAUGAGGAGCUUGCUCCUCUGACGUUAGCGGCGGACGGGUGAGUAACACGUGGAUAACCUACCUAUAAGACUGGGAUAACUUCGGGAAACCGGAGCUAAUACCGGAUAAUAUAUUGAACCGCAUGGUUCAAUAGUGAAAGACGGUUUUGCUGUCACUUAUAGAUGGAUCCGCGCCGCAUUAGCUAGUUGGUAAGGUAACGGCUUACCAAGGCAACGAUGCGUAGCCGACCUGAGAGAGUGAUCGGCCACACUGGACCUGAGACACGGUCCAGACUCCUACGGGAGGCAGCAGUAGGGAAUCUUCCGCAAUGGGCGAAAGCCUGACGGAGCAACGCCGCGUGAGUGAUGAAGGUCUUCGGAUCGUAAAACUCUGUUAUUAGGGAAGAACAAAUGUGUAAGUAACUAUGCACGUCUUGACGGUACCUAAUCAGAAAGCCACGGCUAACUACGUG
Molecule: ribosomal RNA, 497 nt
Filed under: uncultured bacterium
Lineage: Bacteria
Description: partial 16S ribosomal RNA
Rfam family: Bacterial small subunit ribosomal RNA
Source: RNAcentral